This 524-nucleotide ribosomal RNA is filed under the name uncultured bacterium. Its description in RNAcentral is "partial 16S ribosomal RNA". It matches the Rfam family "Bacterial small subunit ribosomal RNA", at positions 28 to 523 of the family's 1533-position model. The record is from RNAcentral.
GACGAACGCUGGCGGCGUGCCUAAUACAUGCAAGUCGAGCGCAGGAAGCUGACGGAACUCUUCGGAGAGAAGGCAGUGGAAUGAGCGGCGGACGGGUGAGUAACACGUAAGGAACCUGCCUCAAGGAUUGGGAUAACUCCGAGAAAUCGGAGCUAAUACCGGAUAGUUCAACGGACCGCAUGGUCCGCUGAUGAAAGGCGCUUCGGCGUCACCUUGAGAUGGCCUUGCGGUGCAUUAGCUAGUUGGUGGGGUAACGGCCCACCAAGGCGACGAUGCAUAGCCGAACUGAGAGGGUGAUCGGCCACACUGGGACUGAGACACGGCCCAGACUCCUACGGGAGGCAGCAGUAGGGAAUCUUCCACAAUGGACGAAAGUCUGAUGGAGCAACGCCGCGUGAGUGAUGAAGGUUUUCGGAUCGUAAAACUCUGUUGUAAGGGAAGAACACGUACGAGAGGGAAUGCUCGUACCUUGACGGUACCUUACGAGAAAGCCACGGCUAACUACGUGCCAGCAGCCGCCGUAC